ACAUUCUCAUCUAGCAUUCUAAAUUUUGAUUGCCUUUGCUUGAAAUUUUUUUUCCAUGGAGAGUUUGGAUGAAUUGCUUGAUGAGUAAGGAUGACCAACAUUUUAAGUGUGGGGGAGGGAGUUUUCUUGAUAAGUUGAUUUGAGAUGAUUUGGUGAGUUAUUGGUGCUGGAAUUGAGGUGUAAAAACAGUGAAGAAGUUUUGGAAUCAAAAUACUUGCUAUGUGACAAUAUUUAAAAGUUGAUAAGGAUCAGUGAUACAUUCUGGAACAAAAGCAGCAAGAGCAGAAUUCACUUUUGUGAUAACUUUUGGAAUGGUUCUGAGCAACAUUGUGUAGAAUUCGAUCUCCUGUUUAUUUAGGGCUAAAUAAAGUGCACUUACAGGCUUAAUUCUUUAAUCCGCAAGCCAAGAUUAUUUUGAAUUCCCAAGUUGAUACUGAAAUCUGGAAAUCAAACUUCAGAAUUCAGAAUCAGCAUUAAUACUUUGUUUAGUUUUGAUUUGCAUCUGUUGUGAAUAAAAGGACGUCCUGAUUUUCUGAGCAUUUGUGAUACACAUCAAGCUAGGAAAUGUAGAGUUUUGAUCCACUGAUUUGGUUGUAAACUUGUGGGACUGACACAGAAUGUAUAUCAAGUUGAAACUGAACACUGAUAUUCUGUCUUCACCUGUAGCUGCUGUUGAGGAAGUUGUUUCAGUUCUAAGUGCUCUUACAAGUUCCUGGAUUUGAAGCUGUUAUUGGAAGCUAAGUUAAUGGAAGUUGUUCUUCAGAGCAACUACUUCAAUUGAGCAGAAAGUUGAAGGUUCUGUUUAAUCAAAUAGUGGGCUCAUAAUUUUGUGAGAGGCAAUUGGUGUUUUAUCAAUGUAAUAGGAAUGCAAAUAUCAAGUUAAAUGGAAAGGAGUAUCAACUGAAUAAAAAGCAAAAUCAGAACAUCAAACUUAUCAUAAUCUGAAUUCCGAAAAGCUAUUCUAUGGAGUUGAAUUCUGAAAUCUAGAGAAGAUGGUAUUGCAGAAUUUAGGAACUGAUGUAGAAGCAGGCCAUAAAAGAUGUGAAGAGUUUUGAAGGUUAACAAAAUGUUGAGAUGCUGGAAUACAGAAUAGAGAAAGAAAAGGAAGGAAAUCUGCAGAACAUAGAAGUGCAGAAUAGUUUGGUGCUAUAGGAAUGUUUCGUUAUGUUUGCUGAGUUGCUGCACUUGUGAACUUAGGGAAAUCACAUUCCAGUACCAAGAUUCCAUUUCCUUCACAGCUGAUUCUUGAUACUGCACCUGAAACAGUAGUGGCUUUUGAUACUUUCUAAUUUGGAAGUUGGAAACUUCUUAAGAGGGCAGAAUUUAGAUACUGCAAAAAUCAAUUUGUUGAUUGUAACUGAAGUCCAGAAUCAAGAAUCCAAAUUUGAAUUGAAGAAGUGCUGGAAUUAUUCUAAGAUGGAGUUUGUUCUUGUAGAAAUUGAAGCUUGCAGAUGUGCUGAUUUUGAAGGAACAAGAACUUAAAUACCAAGAUGGAGUUUGUAUCAGAUUUAAAUUGGAAUGAGGAGCUAGUGACAAGUAGUUAAAAAGGGAAUUCCUCUAGAUUCAAACUCUGAAUUUAAAUCUGAAAAUUCAGGAUUUCUGUUUCAUAUUAAAAAUUCAUAUUCUUCUUGUUGAUCUUGAUCAGUAGUCAAGAUAUUUUCAUAUAGAUCUCUUCAAGGUUUGAUCUAAUGUUAGUCAUUGUUGGAAUUGAUUGAUGCUGAAUUGUUACUUUAUUAGCAGUUGAGAUAAAUACUGCACAGAAAAAAAUCAGAGCACUGAAAGAGGAAAGGCAGUGACAACAGCAAGGAAAAAGUUCUAUCUAUAGCUAGGGAAUACAAUUGCAGGAGUGCAGAAUGUAGUGAUUGUGAUUCCUGAAAAUGCUACUGAAGUUAUUGGGAACUGAAACUGGGUACAAAAUCAACAGUUUGGGUUUUGCAGUUUGUAAUUGCAGCAGGAUCAGAGUCAAGUUUUGUGCCAAUUCUUUAUGCUAUUUUUGAUCAGCAUCGUUGUGGAACCAAGGAGCAUUUUGUUCUGUUCAGAAAACAAAACUUACUGAUACCAAGUGGCCUUUUGCACUAGCCAAGCUGAUGGGGAGCAUUUAUUAACUGUUGGAGAAUUGCUAAUGCAUUAGGAAGUGUACAAGAAGGCAGAGUUGCAGAAACUGCAACUCUAUUACAGAAAAUAGCAUUUCUGAAUUUAUUCUACACUGCUCAGUUAUGAUGUUUGCUAAAUUUGGAACCUUAAAGUGUUGAAUUUAUGUGCUACAAUUUUAGAAGUUGUUCUUGAAAUUUCAUCCAAGGCUUUUAAAUUUGUUGCUGCUAAAAACUUGAAUUGCUGACUUCUUAGAGUACCAAUUCCAUUCUGUGGAGUGCCCAUUUCUUUGUGUAGUACUCUGUACAUGAAGAAAUUUAAGUUAACUUCUUAUCUUCUCAUUGAUAUUGGUUUUCCAGAAUUCAGAUUGGGUUUUAGAUCUGCUUUCAGUUCUGAAUUUUGUGUUGAUUAAUGCUAAUUAUGCACUUCAGUCUUUGAAUCAGAAAUGGCAUGGUAUGACUAAUGAUAUUUGUAUGUAUUGCUGAUCAAGCUUUGGUAAUUUAGUUAGGUGCUUAGUAUAUAUGAUGAUGGCAUCUAAUGAAGAUUUCUUGAGAAACAUUGGAGCUAGCUGAUAUUUGAAAAGGGAACUGCACUAUAGGAAACAGAAAACCCAUAAACUGUUAUGCAAAGAGAGAAGUGAUACAAUUUAGUAUUGGGAAGGAAAUUGGCAUACCACAUUACAUUCUUCUUGUGCAUUAGGAAACCUAGGUAAUGUGGACUUGUCUCAAGAUUAAGGAAAUGGAAGUUGCUGUUUGGCAGUAAAAUCGGAAGAUAAAUGAAUGCAGGAAUUGACAGUGCUAAUAUGUAGUAAAUCCAUGGUGUGGCUGCUGGGAUAAGAAGGAUACUGGAUGAACAGAUUGCAAUUCAGAAAUAGAACCUUGUAUCAAAACUGUGUCAGAAAUCAGGAGCAACAUCUAAAUAAGGAAGAAAUCAAAUUAAGUUUUGUAUGAUGCAGAAACAUUUAGUAUUUCAGCUUUCUAUAACUUUUAUAAUGUCAUAUCCUAAUUACUGGAAAAAGGAACAGUUGAUUAGAUUUAGAUUGUGUUAAGUUCUAAAAAGGAGUAACUAAGAAAGCUUGAUGUGGCAAUGUGUGUAUCAAAACUCUGCACUAGAAUAAAAUCUGGGCAGUAUUGAUAUGGCACAGAAAUUGAAACUGAUGUUGGAAUUUAUUGAGGAGCUGAAUGGCAAAACUUUUUAAUUGGACAGUUAUGAAUUUUGAUUCAGAAUUCGAAUUUGAGCAGGGAAGAUGGUUACUUUCUUUAAUCUGAUUGAAGUUUUCUUGAAGGAAGUAGUUGAAGACAGUGUGCUGCUGGAAACGAGUUAAGACAGAAAUUGAGAACAGAAUCUGCAAAAGAAAAAAAAAAGAGAGACAGUGGCUAGAAGAUUUCUUUGAAGCUGAUUACUUUGUUCAAGUUUCUGAUCAAUGAGAUUUCAAGUGGAAUUCUGUUAAGAUGUGUUCUUUACUCCAUGCUAAACCCUCCAUGAUUUGAAUUGGGAUCACCUAGACUUGUGAACUCCGAACUUAAUGAAAAUCUGCAGUCUAAUGUGCUGAAAAUUUCAAUUUGGCUCUAUUUAGAGGUCUGAAUUUCUGAAUUGCUCUAAGCAAAGUUAUCCAACAAACUGAAACAGAACACAGAAAUGCUGUAAGCAAAAGCCAGAUAAGAAACUAGAAGCAUCAAGUAUAUGAAAAUAGAAGACCAAUGAAGCUAUAAUGAGUUGCAAAAUUCUGUUUGCAGGUUGUCAGAUUUUGAAUUCCUAGUACUGAUGGGUGUUAUAGCCAUUGUGUAAUUUGUAGAUCUAUAAAGAGAUGAGCCAUGGCAAUGCAAAAAUCUGUGAAUUCUGCAAAUUGGUGCUUGCAUAAUUCUGUGAUCAGACUGCAGGAGAGGUUGAAUUUUUGUUGAAUCAAACUGAAGGUCCUAUACAGCAAAUUUCAGAUUGCUUAUUUCAAACUGGGAUGACUUUAAAGCAUCAAUUCUGUAACUUCAGAUUUCUGGGAAAGCUGUAAUGAUCUGAUCUCUGGCAGGAUUUAAGGUCCUGAAUCAAGUUUCUUGGUUGAUUGAGUAUGAAGAAUAGAAAAGG
Long non-coding RNA from Zingiber officinale, 4170 nucleotides. RefSeq lists it as uncharacterized. NCBI's taxonomy places the organism in Eukaryota, Viridiplantae, Streptophyta, Magnoliopsida, Zingiberales, Zingiberaceae. The transcript is spliced from 2 exons. The record is from RefSeq and is a predicted model, not a curated record.